UGGCAGACGGGUGAGUAACACGUGGGAAUCUACCUAUCUCUGCGGAACAACACAUAGAAAUGUGUGCUAAUACCGCAUACGCCCUUCGGGGGAAAGAUUUAUCGGAGAUAGAUGAGCCCGCGUUUGAUUAGCUAGUUGGUGAGGUAAUGGCUCACCAAGGCGACGAUCAAUAGCUGGUCUGAGAGGAUGAUCAGCCACACUGGGACUGAGACACGGCCCAGACUCCUACGGGAGGCAGCAGUGGGGAAUAUUGGACAAUGGGCGCAAGCCUGAUCCAGCCAUGCCGCGUGAGUGAUGAAGGCCCUAGGGUUGUAAAGCUCUUUCAACGGUGAAGAUAAUGACGGUAACCGUAGAAGAAGCCCCGGCUAACUUCGUGCCAGCAGCCGCGGUAAUACGAAGGGGGCUAGCGUUGUUCGGAAUAACUGGGCGUAAAGCGCACGUAGGCGGAUUGGAAAGUUAGAGGUGAAAUCCCAGGGCUCAACCCUGGAACUGCCUUUAAAACUAUCAGUCUAGAGGUCGAGAGAGGUGAGUGGAAUUCCGAGUGUAGAGGUGAAAUUCGUAGAUAUUCGGAGGAACACCAGUGGCGAAGGCGGCUCACUGGCUCGAUACUGACGCUGAGGUGCGAAAGUGUGGGGAGCAAACAGGAUUAGAUACCCUGGUAGUCCACACCGUAAACGAUGGAAGCUAGCUGUCAGAAUGUAUACAUUUUGGUGGCGCAGCUAACGCAUUAAGCUUCCCGCCUGGGGAGUACGGUCGCAAGAUUAAAACUCAAAGGAAUUGACGGCGGCCCGCACAAGCGGUGGAGC
Molecule: ribosomal RNA, 806 nt
Filed under: uncultured bacterium
Lineage: Bacteria
Description: bacterial SSU rRNA
Rfam family: Bacterial small subunit ribosomal RNA
Source: RNAcentral